GUGGGGAAUCUUGCGCAAUGGGCGAAAGCCUGACGCAGCCAUGCCGCGUGGAUGAUGAAGGUCUUAGGAUUGUAAAAUCCUUUCACCGGUGAAGAUAAUGACUGUAGCCGGAGAAGAAGCCCCGGCUAACUUCGUGCCAGCAGCCGCGGUAAUACGAAGGGGGCUAGCGUUGCUCGUAUUUACUGGGCGUAAAGGGCGCGUAGGCGGACAUUUAAGUACGGGGUGAGAUCCCGGUGCUCAACCUCGGAACUGCCUUUGAUACUGGGUGUCUUGAGUAUGAGAGAGGUGUGUGGAACUCCGAGUGUAGAGGUGAAAUUCGUAGAUAUUCGGAAGAACACCAGUGGCGAAGGCGACACACUGGCUCAUUACUGACGCUGAGGCGCGAAAGCGUGGGGAGCAAACAGGAUUAGAAACCCUAGUAGUCC
Molecule: ribosomal RNA, 425 nt
Filed under: uncultured bacterium
Lineage: Bacteria
Description: partial 16S ribosomal RNA
Rfam family: Bacterial small subunit ribosomal RNA
Source: RNAcentral